UGGCGGACGGGUGAGUAAUGUCUGGGAAACUGCCCGAUGGAGGGGGAUAACUACUGGAACGGUAGCUAAUACCGCAUAACGUCGCAAGACCAAGAGGGGACCGUUCGGGCCUCUUGCCAUCGGAUGUGCCCAGAUGGGAUUAGCUAGUAGGUGGGGUAACGGCUUACCUAGGCGACGAUCCCUAGCUGGUCUGAGAGGAUGAUCAGCCACACUGGGACUGAGACACGGCCCAG
This 233-nucleotide ribosomal RNA is filed under the name uncultured bacterium. RNAcentral's name for it is "partial 16S ribosomal RNA". It matches the Rfam family "Bacterial small subunit ribosomal RNA", at positions 96 to 334 of the family's 1533-position model. The record is from RNAcentral.